GCGUUCGACCAGCUCCGGCAUCACCGUCCACGCGGGUUUUACGGCCGAAGGAACACCCGCACCGUCAUGGGACCCUCGGGAGGGAUUGGGGUCUGUGCCCGGGUGUCCCCGGGCUCUCGGUGCCCAGAUCGGGGACCAGCUCUCCAAGUCCGAGAGAAGACAUCCCAGGACGACAGGAAGGAAGAUGGAGAGAAACAUCAAUGAUGAGUCAUUGAUCAGCUGCUUCCUGCAUGACCCCACGGGGGAUCGAGCCCACAACCUGGGCAUGUGCUCUUGACAAGAAUCAAACCUGGGACCCUUCAGUCCAAAAGCCGAUGCUCUAUCCCUGAGCCAAACCGGCCAGAGCCACAUGGUCUAUUUCAAGGCAAAUGCAUCACUCCCCAUCAUCACGACCGUUUCUCAGUCUUUGUAAGUUUGGUCAGGACAACAGAGAAAACAUUCCAGAUUUGCUCCUCAUCAUCUCAAACAUUAUUUCCUCGAUUGCAUAGCCUGCCCCAUUAUGGUGACCUCCGGCCAGGUGUUUUGAAAUCCUGUGGAAGUUUACCAUCAUUUCCGUCUCCUUAAUUGCUGUAUUCGUCCUUUUCCUCUGGAGAACUAUGCUUGUGGUGAGUCUACUAAAGUACCUUAUAAAUACCUUUUAAUUCAAAAAUAAGCGGA
This is a long non-coding RNA of Eptesicus fuscus (big brown bat), 657 nucleotides long. RefSeq lists it as uncharacterized. The transcript is spliced from 2 exons. Lineage: Eukaryota; Metazoa; Chordata; Mammalia; Chiroptera; Vespertilionidae. The record is from RefSeq and is a predicted model, not a curated record.